GCAUAUCAAUAAGCGGAGGAAAAGAAACCAACAGGGAUUGCCCUAGUAACGGCGAGUGAAGCGGCAACAGCUCAAAUUUGAAAUCUGGCUCUUUCAGAGUCCGAGUUGUAAUUUGCAGAGGGCGCUUUGGCUUUGGCAGCGGUCCAAGUUCCUUGGAACAGGACGUCACAGAGGGUGAGAAUCCCGUACGUGGUCGCUAGCCUUUGCCGUGUAAAGCCCCUUCGACGAGUCGAGUUGUUUGGGAAUGCAGCUCUAAAUGGGAGGUAAAUUUCUUCUAAAGCUAAAUACUGGCCAGAGACCGAUAGCGCACAAGUAGAGUGAUCGAAAGAUGAAAAGCACUUUGGAAAGAGAGUCAAAUAGCACGUGAAAUUGUUGAAAGGGAAGCGCUUGCAGCCAGACUUGCCUGUAGUUGCUUAUCUGGACUUUUGUCCAGUGCACUCUUCUGCGGGCAGGCCAGCAUCAGUUUGGGCGGUUGGAUAAAGGUCUCUGUCAUGUACCUCCUUUCGGGGAGGCCUUAUAGGGGAGACGACAUGCAACCAGCCUGGACUGAGGUCCGCGCAUCUGCUAGGAUGCUGGCGUAAUGGCUGUAAGCGGCCCGUCUUGAAACACGGACCAAGGAGUCUAACAUCUAUGCGAGUGUUUGGGUGUCAAGCCCAGACGCGUAAUGAAAGUGAACGGAGGUGGGAACCUUUUAGGUGCACCAUCGACCGAUCCUGAUGUCUUCGGAAGGAUUUGAGUAAGAGCAUGGCUGUUGGGACCCGAAAGAUGGUGAACUAUGCUUGAAUAGGGUGAAGCCAGAGGAAACUCUGGUGGAGGCUCGCAGCGGUUCUGACGUGCAAAUCGAUCGUCAAAUUUGGGCAUAGGGGCGAAAGACUAAUCGAA
Molecule: ribosomal RNA, 882 nt
Filed under: Phaeoseptoriella zeae
Lineage: Eukaryota; Fungi; Ascomycota; Dothideomycetes; Pleosporales; Phaeosphaeriaceae
Description: partial 28S ribosomal RNA
Rfam family: Eukaryotic large subunit ribosomal RNA
Source: RNAcentral